Pelobates cultripes (western spadefoot toad) is the source of this 1546-nucleotide non-coding RNA. The record is from the annotation of a GenBank genome assembly. NCBI's taxonomy places the organism in Eukaryota, Metazoa, Chordata, Amphibia, Anura, Pelobatidae.
CAGAUUUGGAGUCACACUCAAAAUUAAAGUUGAAAAACACACUACAGGCUGAUCCAACUUUGAUGUAAUGUCCUUUAAAACAAGUCAAAGUGAGGCUCAGUAGUGCGUGUGGCCUCCAUGUGCCUGUAUGACCUCCCUACAACGCCUGUGCAUGCUCCUGAUGAGAUGGCGGAUGGUCUCCUGAGGGAUCUCCUCCCAGACCUGGACUAAAGCAUCUGCCAACUCCUGGACAGUCUGCGGUGCAACGUGACGUUGGUGGAUGGAGCGAGACAUGAUGUCCCAGAUGUGCUCAGUUGGAUUCAGGUCUGGGGAACGGGCGGGCCAGUCCAUAGCAUCAAUGUCUUUGUCUUGCAGGAACUGAUGACACACUCCAGCCACAUUAGGUCUAGCAUAGUCUUGCAUUAAGAGGAACCCAGGCCCACCGCACCAGCAUAUGGUCUCUCAAGGGGUCUGAGGAUCUCAUCUCGGUACCUAAUGGCAGUCAGGCUACCUCUGGCGAGCACAUGGAGGGCUGUGCGGCCCCCCCCAAAAAAUGCCACCCCACACCAUUACUGACCCACUGCCAAACCGGUCAUGCUAGAGGAUGUUUCAGGCAGCAGAACGUUCUCCGCGGCGUCUCCAGACUCUGUUAUGUCUGUCACGUGCUCAGUGUGAACCUGCUUUCAUCUGUGAAGAGUACAGGGCGCAAGUGGUAAAGUGCCAAUUAUGGUGUUCUCUGGCAAAUGCCAAACGUCCUGCACGAUGUUGGGCUGUAAGCACAACCCCCACCUGUGGAUGUCGGGCCCUCAUGGAGUCUGUUUCUGACCGUUUGAACAGACACAUGCAUAUUUGUGGCCUGCUGGAGGUCAUUUUGCAGUGCUCCUCCUGUUCCUCCUGCUGCUGGGUUGUUGCCCUCCUACGGUCUCCUCCACGUCUCCUGAUGUACUGGCCUGUCUCCUGGUAGCGCCUCCAUGCUCUGGACACUACGCUGACAGACACAGCAAACCUUCUUGCCACAGCUCACAUUGAUGUGCCAUCCUGGAUGAGCUGCACUACCUGAACCACUUGUGUGGGUUGUAGACUCCAUCUCAUGCUACCACUAGAGUGAAAGCACCGCCAGCAUUCUAAAGUGACCAAAACAUCAGCCAGGAAGCAUAGGAACUGGUCUGUGGUCACCACCUGUAGAACCACUCCUUUAUUGGGGGUGUCUUGCUAAUUGACUAUGAAUUCCACCUGUUGUCUAUCCCAUUUGCACAACAGCAUGUUAAUUUGAUUGUCACUCAGUGUUGCUUCCUACGUGGACAGUUUGAUUGACUUGGAGUCACAUUGUAUUGUUUAAGUGUUCCCUUUAUUUUUUUUGAGCAGUGUACAUUAUGGUUAUAAUGACCACUGACUGAGGUUACCAAUGUGUAAAGGUUUAACAAUUCUUGGCAUUUGAAUUUUUUGGGAUAUGAGUCAAUUCCAGGACUGUUGGAUGCACAUUUUUUGCAAGCUAACAAUAAUUAUCAGUACCAAUCCGGUAGACAAAUCGCUAAAAACUGUGUCGGCAUAAGGGUCAAGUGAUGUG